UACAGAGGUCUCAAGCGUUGUUCGGAUUCAUUGGGCGUAAAGGGUGCGUAGGCGGCUUGUUAAGUCACUGGUGAAAGUUUUCGGCCCAACCGGAAAAUGGCCUGUGAUACUGGCGAGCUUGAGUGCGUGAGGGGUGGGGGGAACGAGCAGUGUAGCGGUGAAAUGCGUAGAUAUUGCUCGGAAGGCCGGAGCCGAAGGGGCCCCACUGGUACGCAACUGACGCUGAGGCACGAAAGCGUGGGGAGCAAACAGG
RNAcentral lists this ribosomal RNA (253 nucleotides) under uncultured bacterium. RNAcentral describes it as "partial 16S ribosomal RNA". It matches the Rfam family "Bacterial small subunit ribosomal RNA", at positions 524 to 776 of the family's 1533-position model. The record is from RNAcentral.